Molecule: unclassified non-coding RNA, 444 nt
Filed under: Hevea brasiliensis (rubber tree)
Lineage: Eukaryota; Viridiplantae; Streptophyta; Magnoliopsida; Malpighiales; Euphorbiaceae
Source: RNAcentral
CCCAUUUGCCCAAAUGGACUCACCUGAUUAAGAAAAAAAAACGUCAAUUGAAGUUACACAACCAAAAUAAAAUAAAGCAGAAGCAGAGAGAUGUACUAACGUGAUACAAAACAUACCAUGAUUUUCUCAAUAAGCGCUCAAAAAUGAAAUACGCUAACCUCCUGCUGCUGUUGAUUAUCGAGAAAGGUGAACCAAACCCUUCAAGAUUUGAUCGAAUCUGGAAGCAAAGAGUAAAACAAUCCUUUUUCAGAAUGGAGCCGCCGUACGGAAGACAGUGAGAUGGAUUGGCAAAGAGACGCAGAUGAAUGUUGGAGCUGAGCAGAGAGAGCGUACUAUAUAAUAUGUAUGUCUGAGCUAUUAGGGAAACGCAGAAGGGAAAACCUAAAGAUGGAAAGAAAUUUAUGAGGCGGUCGUAAAAAAAGCAAAUAAAUUGAAAGGGAAAAA